GGAGAAGCAAAGUGAUGAGCAUUGCUGGCUGGAGCCCCAAAGAGGCACACGUGUGUGUGUGUGUGUAUGUAUGUAUAUAUCUGUGCCCUUGUCUGUGCAUGCACACAUAUGUCUGGGAGUAUGAGUGUGUGUGACUGGUGGUAGGGAACUAGUUAUGUGCCUUCUGUUGGACCAUGACAGUCAAACUGAUAAGAUCUGAUUGCUUC
RNAcentral lists this small nucleolar RNA (206 nucleotides) under Panthera leo (lion). Its description in RNAcentral is "Small nucleolar RNA ZL1 (ENSPLOG00000011472.1)". It matches the Rfam family "Small nucleolar RNA ZL1". Rfam says of the family: Host gene TRRAP. Predicted target U2@U47. The record is from Rfam by way of RNAcentral. Lineage: Eukaryota; Metazoa; Chordata; Mammalia; Carnivora; Felidae.